GAUGAACGCUAGCUACAGGCUUAACACAUGCAAGUCGAGGGGAAACGCCAUCGAAAGCUUGCUUUUGAUGGGCGUCGACCGGCGCACGGGUGAGUAACGCGUAUCCAACCUGCCCAUCACUUGGGAAUAACCUUGCGAAAGUAAGACUAAUACCCAAUGAUAUCCCACGAAGGCAUCGGAAUGGGAUUAAAGAUUUAUCGGUGAUGGAUGGGGAUGCGUCUGAUUAGCUUGUUGGCGGGGUAACGGCCCACCAAGGCAACGAUCAGUAGGGGUUCUGAGAGGAGGGUCCCCCACAUUGGAACUGAGACACGGUCCAAACUCCUACGGGAGGCAGCAGUGAGGAAUAUUGGUCAAUGGGCGAGAGCCUGAACCAGCCAAGUAGCGUGCAGGAAGACGGCCCUAUGGGUUGUAAACUGCUUUUAUAAGGGAAUAAAGUGGGUCACGUGUGACUUUUUGCAUGUACCUUAUGAAUAAGGACCGGCUAAUUCCGUG
RNAcentral lists this ribosomal RNA (492 nucleotides) under uncultured bacterium. RNAcentral describes it as "partial 16S ribosomal RNA". It matches the Rfam family "Bacterial small subunit ribosomal RNA", at positions 28 to 507 of the family's 1533-position model. The record is from RNAcentral.